Molecule: long non-coding RNA, 915 nt
Organism: Medicago truncatula (barrel medic)
Lineage: Eukaryota; Viridiplantae; Streptophyta; Magnoliopsida; Fabales; Fabaceae
Exons: 3
Source: RefSeq, a predicted model, not a curated record
GCAGCAGCUCAAUAACUAUUUUGUUGCAAAAAUUCAAUGCAGACAAAUGGAUGUUGCAGGGAACACUUUGAUGGGCAGCGUGUUGGAUAUGGCUUUUAUGUCUUCCUCGUCUUUGUCUACUAUGUGUUUUAUGUGGUCGAUCACAACUUAUAUCUUUUUUAAUUUUUCGACAAAUGUAAUUUCUUUGAUUAAAAACUCUAAAUUGCACUGGUUAUAUCAACCCCUACCGUUUUCAAGUACAGAGAGAAGCUGAUAUGGGCUUUUGUAGGUUGCCUUCAAGACAAAGGUAUAUCAUCCAAAUAUAAAUAGCAGUGGAAACAUCUGUAUUGAUAUACUGAAGGAAGGGAAGAUUAUUAGAACAUACAAUGGCAGUGGAGGCAUUUUUGAGGUUCUGUUGGAAUAAAGAGGGUGACAAGAUCGCAGCAUGUUUUGCCAAUAAUAUAGUGUUUUGGAUUUCAGAAUGUGAUCGUGGAAACGUCGUGUUGUCCUUGCUGGUACAUCGGAUUCGCAAGGUCAUUGAUGAAGCGCGCUUAUGUAUGGAACUUUGAGAUGCACGUUCAAAGUGAGGAUAUGCAACCAUAGAAACAUAUUUGAGUGAUCAGAAUGCAAUCCAUGAAUGACACUACUAUGCCAAUCAUAGCAAAUGAGCAGAAUGUGGAGAAAUAAAUGGAAUAAUUGACAACUUUCAAUCAUAGCAAAGUUGUACGCCGCACCUUGUUCACAUAUGCUCCCAAACUUGACGUUGUUUGUUUAGUUUGUUGAAAAGGAACAUGAGAGAAUUUAUCAACUGUAAAAUAAAUGAAAAAAUACAAUAUGAUUUCAUGGUUAAAAACAUUGUUAUUGUAUUGUACUUUUUUUUUUUUUUUGAAAGGGAUAUUGUACCUUUCUAUACAUUCAUAGAAUUGGUUUUAAUUA